UAAUAUUUAGUUUCGGUACAUCAUUGGUUAUAUCUAUUUUACACAUGCAACACAAUGACACCCGCAACCCCAUCUUUAAAUUUAAUAAAUUCUAAAGCUAAUUCUCAAGACCAGCCUAAUGCGACAGCAGUGAUUAGACCUAAUUAACUAGUGAAAGCUAGAAUUGAAUAAAAGACUUUAGUACUAAUAAACAAGGUGCCAGAAAUCUCGGUUAGACCCUGACGUACAAACCAAUAUAAACGGGAUACAGGUUAAUAAAAUAGAAAAAAGUUAUACACACUACAGAGCCGAGCGUAUAAUGCUGGAAGCCUAUAAUACCAAUAUUUUCUAACAUACACUCCUGAUAAAUCAUAGACCUAAACAGGGAUUUGAUACCCCAUUAUUCUAUACUGACGACUAAUAUAUAUCCCCGGGUAGUACCUAUUAAUAAUAGAAACCCAAAAAACAUGGCGGCCUUUCAACAUAUCAGGGGAAUCUGCCCUAUAACAAGAUACUACACUAUCACAUUUACUUACUCUCGCCAUAAAUAUACACUUACCCUCAGGUGGCGUGUGGCCGCCGCAGUUGCAUUCGAAAGAGUGUAGCACAUAAAUUCCAGGUGACAAUAACAACUAUACUGUUAAAGAAGAUUUCCUCAUAACACCUCCUAAGACAGGUCAUUACAUCCCUUAUGAGUAAGCAGAGGUGGAUUACAUUUCCCAAAAGGAUAAUUAUGAAAAACUAUAAUAAUAGUUUCAAUACAGGACUUGACAGUAAUAAAAACCUAAAAUACUUUUAUGAAGAAGCAAUCUGAUUGGUGCACAAAUCGCCCGGCCCUCUACCCAUUAGGGGAGAUAAGCCGUAACAAAGUAGGUGUAACGGAAGUUGCAUCUCAACCCUA
RNAcentral lists this ribosomal RNA (880 nucleotides) under Syllis sp. JYC-2022. RNAcentral describes it as "12S ribosomal RNA". The record is from RNAcentral. Lineage: Eukaryota; Metazoa; Annelida; Polychaeta; Phyllodocida; Syllidae.